GCAAUGUGUCGGAAUGGCUCUCGCAAAGAUUGGAUCUGAGAGGGGGAAAAAGGGGGAACCUUCCUCCUGGAGCAAUCCUGCACGCACUUUGCAGCUGCCUCUGCCUCCAGCCUUCUGCAGCUCGUGGAAAAGUUGCACCAAAAAAAAAAAAAAUGUUGCAGCUGUAGGAUCUAGGGGGUUUUAUUUUUUCUUAUUAUUUUGAUCUUUUUUCUUUUUUCUUUUUUCUUUUUAAAGAAAAACAAAAACUUUCCAAUCUCUUCUGGUCCGUUUGGAAAGCGUUUCAGAGCAGGUACGGUCCCAGAGAGCCAGACUAGCCCGGGCUAACGGGGAGUGAGUGGAUCUGUGUGAUUUGCACUCUCAGAACUUUGUGCUCAGAGAACCAAAAUCUGCUUCUGGGAUGAAAAGAAACUCUAACUUCUGCUUCUCAGGGCUGUGGGAGCCUUGUCCCUCUUUGAACAUCUGGACUGGUGUGCAGCAGCAUUCACUAGGAAAAGAAGCCCACAUGGAGAACCAGGCAUGAAGCUGAAGGCAAGAGUCAACUCUUCUUUGUUCCAGAUGUGCUGGCCCAAUGUCGAGGGGAUGCUAAGGCAGCGGCUCACCCAACUCUGCUGGCUUUGGGAGGGAGCUCGGGGGUCCCCAGUCUCAUCACUUACAUGGAGGUCAGCGUGCGGUUAGGUUUUGCUGGAAGGCAAGGAGCAGGAAGGAGCUCACUGAGCUCAGUACGAAGAGCCACUCCUGACUUUUCAGUGAGGAGCUACCCAAAAACGUUCAUCAGUCUUUAAAAACAAGACUCUUGGAUUCGUUUGACUAUCUUGGAUUAUUUCCCACUUCCUAAAUGAAGUGGCCACCAGGAGUAAUGUUUUCUGGUCUAGGAACAUCACACUGGGCUUUUUAUUUUGUACUCUAAAUGAAUGGUUAAUUUUAAGUUGCUCAUGUUCAUAAUUUCACAUGUAGCAGAUCAUAAUUAAGAUCAUAAGCCACAGCACCUGACAUGGCUGCUUGACAUGACGGUCUGCUCCACAGACAUCCCUCACCAAAAAUCCUCCCUUUGAAGUCAAGAGAAGGUCCACAGAGAUGAGCAAUGGAUGCCCACUAUUUAUGUUACCCACCAGUCAUAAAAUGAUGAUUAUUUUAUAUAAAUGAUAAAUGAUGAUACCCACCCACUGAUGAUUUCUCCUAAAUAUUUCUUGGAUCUUAAUCACAUUUUUUUAGCUCCACGGUGCUGGAGUUACACAGCCACUGAGGGAUACUUGGUAUUCAUCAUGCUCCCUCUCUUGAACUUCACGUCUCCAGCUGGGCUGCCACAACCAUCUCCCAGGAGGACCUCUGGACCCCUGAAAACAUUGGUACAGCUGCAGCUGGGGUUAUAGCCUAAAACUGCUCCCUUUCACCUGGCUCCAGUGAACUGCAUUGCCUCCAUCCAACACAAAACCUGUGCACGAUCCCCCGUUUCAGCGGGGCCAACAGCAGGGACUGAACCGGGUGAAGAAAGAAACCGUUUUUCCUGUGUUCACCAUUUUAAUUGACUUCUCCUUUCAUUUGUUCCCCGUUGGUGCCCUCCGACUGCAAAUGUUCAAGUGGCUGUAGUAACCCCCAGGAAAAAAAAAAAAAAAGUGGUGCUUAAUGAGAUUUUUAUGUGUGGGUGUUUAAGUAUCCGCAUGAAGCAAAUUCCUAGCCUCUUCUAAUCAGAAUGAGAAGGAGACCAUGUGAGUGAUGUGACCAAUUAUGACCGAGCACCCCAGAGCAGCUUCUGAAUAUUCACGUCCAAUUGCUACUUUGGUGGAACAAUUGGUUUGAACAGUUUGAAAAGGCAAUGAUGUCAAACGUGCGGCGUGAUUAAACACAGUGAAAUUACCAGCCGUUGUAGCUGAAAGAGAAGCUCUGUUCCCUCCCCAGGGCAACGCUGCUUUCAAAUUUUGCUCUGGCUGGAGCAGGAAACAACAUCCUCAGGUGGCCUGUUCCUGCACCCCCAAAUUGCUCACUGCAAAGGUGUAGCUGAGCUUUGGAGGCAGCAUGGACCGGGACUUGCACGGGAGCUUUGAUAUGGGUGCAGAGAGCUGAAUGCAACCUCUUCACCCUGACCCUCACGCAGAGCCACACUUCUACCCCUGGCAGUGUAACCCAGAGGCACAUUUUGUAAGCACACGGUGCUGCAAAUGUGAUGUGAAUUGGUGAGUUUUGGGGCCAAGCAUCUGGGGGUUGAACUGUCAAGACAACAGCCAAAAGCCAUGCCUUUUCCAUUGGUAUCAGGAGCAGCUGGGAGCUCUUCCAUUUCUGUGCAGACAAGGAGCACACCGCACAUGGUCCUGCUGCACGAUUCACACCUAUUUCUGCCAUCACUGAAAAUGGCCUACUCCCUUUCAAAAAAAUGACUAUUAAUUCGACUGUCCAGCUCCCUCCUAUUUUAAAAAUGCACAUACCACUGUAAGUUACAGCUCAGUAGCAACCCCAGCUUUAUGAGCAAUCCAAGUCCAAGCAUUAGGAGAAGCAGCAGUUUUUUGUUGUAAUGCAUGGAGAAGUGCGGUUCCCAGAUGGCAGAAGGGAUCUGUGAGCACACAUGGGGAGAAAAAUGUAAUACAUCCUCGGCAUCAUGUCUUAUACCAAGCCCUUGUCACAGAGCAUGGGCACAGAACCCCUGCCCGCCCCCGGCUGCUCCCAUUUGGGGCCAGCUCCGCGAACAAUUGCCCUGCUCCUGGUCCCCUUGGGAAGGUGACUGUGCACACCCAUGUACAAAAAAAAAGUAUUUUUCUUAAACAUCAACUCCCACACUUUUGUGCAAAAUGCUUCUUAAACCUGAUACACGAGUCUCACUUCAGCAAAAAGCCUGCAUAAAAUCCUGCCUGAAACCGGGGAACUUUUUCUUUUCCUUUCUUCUCAUUUCCUACUCAGAGAUCUGAGCUAUUUUUCCCUAUCCAUAGGCUCCCCCCACCCCCUCAAAAAAAAAAAAAAAAAAAGGCGGGGGGGGGAGAGACUGUAUUCACUAAUUAUACAUCCUGAAAAGAAUUUGGUUCAGUGUAAGAUGAUCCUAGUGAUAUGCUAAUCCUUUUUUCUGCUUGGUGCAGCCUGAAGCCUGUGUCUAACAUUUUUUUCAACUGUAUGACAAUAAAAGUUGUGGCAACAAAAGAAAUAAAUGGGCAGCUAAAGAAGGUAUAGCUGAAACACAUGGCAGACCAGUUCUCUCCUCUCCUUCUGGCUGCUCUUUUGUAGGCUCUGGUUUGGUAUCCUCAAGUCAAUAGCCGAAAGCCAGCCACCUUAGCAACUUAGUAUGACACCCAAGCCCUCUCUCUUUACAUUCAUGAAUAGUCAGCAAGCAGCAGACAAAAUAGAACUAAUCUUUUUUGACAGAAUUGUUCAAUUUUAGGGGAAAGGCUUUUGAGGCACCUUCCAUACAUUUGCAGAAUAUGAGACAACAAUGGCCAUGAUCACAGUUUACAAAAGGACGACCAGGGGUGUGAGCACACACACACACACACAACAGCCAUUUCGAUAAAAUAUCGCAGCUAAGUUGAAGUGAUUGCAGGAUACGGCCAUUGUUAGGGGGGAAGCUGGCAGGCAAGAAAAAAUAAAUGAAGCAAAAAAAAAUCUCCAUUGUUUUGUUGCUGAUACAUACACAACCCGACAAUGCAUGAUUAAGGUUAUUUGUCUUGAUUAGUAGAAGUUAAGAGAGCUGAUUAAUAUCCACUCUCUAAUUUCCUGUCAUAGGCUGAUAACUUCAUCUUUUUUUUUUUUCCUUUUUUGGACCAAUGAUUCUUAUUGUGAAAUGCAUUCAAUCCAGUGGGUUCUCACCUGCAUUUAAAAGCUGGUUUUGCCAUUUCAAAAUCCUGUGACACAGCAGCCACUCACAAGUCUAAUAUGUGAGAGAAGGACAUUCCUCCUUUUCCCUUUUCUCCCCUCCAUUUAAUGCAAGCCAUAUAUCUAUCUCCAAAUAUAGUCUGAGCAGGAAAGAGAAGGAAAUAAUAAUAAUAAUACUAAUGAAAAUCUACCCAGUCUAUGGGCAAAAACUGAAGUUAGCAACAUGGUCCAUGCAGCUGCAACACUACAUUUAAAAUUCAGUUUACUCCUAGGAAGAGGGCUAAUCCUGCCCCUGUAAUUCCCUACAGCCAAAAUGUACCCCCCUCCCUGAGUGACAGUGCAAUGCAAAGACACUCGCACGCUUAUCUUCCCCAACCAGAUGGCCGACUUGGAUCAAUGCACACACGCCACGAUCAAUGGGAGCGAUAAAGAAUUAGGAAAACAGUGGUACAUGCUCCCAGAAAGCUUGUACACUGCAUAAUUAUUUUAUGAUUCUACACAUGGCUACAUGUGAUACUGGAGUCAAGAAGGAAAAGGAUAAUUAGAGAGCCAGAAAGCACCCGUACUGCACUACACACUUUGUCAGUCAGCAGUUCCCACUCGGCUCAACUCACCGCUGUUAUCUCCUCUCCUGCCCCCUUGCAAACGAAUUUUGGGAAUACGUAAAAUAUUAGGGGGAGGUGGCUUCUGGGUUACAGAUACAGGAUGCGGGAGAUUACCAUGCCCUGUGAUACGACUGCAAAAGUUUUUGGCUGAGGGCUGGGGUUGACCGCAUGCCUCGGCGGGGACUGUGCUGGGGUGGCAUCCGAGGAGACACUGCAAUGAGCAGGGGUGGCAGGUGAGCGUUUCCAUGGCUUUGUCAUCAGAGGGA
This is a long non-coding RNA of Cygnus olor (mute swan), 4663 nucleotides long. RefSeq lists it as uncharacterized. The record is from RefSeq and is a predicted model, not a curated record. NCBI's taxonomy places the organism in Eukaryota, Metazoa, Chordata, Aves, Anseriformes, Anatidae. The transcript is spliced from 3 exons.